GUGGGGAAUAUUGGACAAUGGGCGCAAGCCUGAUCCAGCCAUGCCGCGUGUGUGAAGAAGGCCUUUUGGUUGUAAAGCACUUUAAGCGAGGAGGAGGCUCCUUUAGUUAAUACCUAAAGAGAGUGGACGUUACUCGCAGAAUAAGCACCGGCUAACUCUGUGCCAGCAGCCGCGGUAAUACAGAGGGUGCGAGCGUUAAUCGGAUUUACUGGGCGUAAAGCGUGCGUAGGCGGCUUUUUAAGUCGGAUGUGAAAUCCCUGAGCUUAACUUAGGAAUUGCAUUCGAUACUGGAAAGCUAGAGUAUGGGAGAGGAUGGUAGAAUUCCAGGUGUAGCGGUGAAAUGCGUAGAGAUCUGGAGGAAUACCGAUGGCGAAGGCAGCCAUCUGGCCUAAUACUGACGCUGAGGUACGAAAGCAUGGGGAGCAAACAGGAUUAGAUACCCUAGUAGUCC
This 451-nucleotide ribosomal RNA is filed under the name uncultured bacterium. RNAcentral's name for it is "partial 16S ribosomal RNA". It matches the Rfam family "Bacterial small subunit ribosomal RNA", at positions 354 to 796 of the family's 1533-position model. The record is from RNAcentral.